RNAcentral lists this ribosomal RNA (259 nucleotides) under uncultured bacterium. RNAcentral's name for it is "partial 16S ribosomal RNA". It matches the Rfam family "Bacterial small subunit ribosomal RNA", at positions 74 to 334 of the family's 1533-position model. The record is from RNAcentral.
CUUGCAAACUAAAGAUGGCGACCGGCGCACGGGUGAGUAACACGUAUCCAACCUGCCGAUAACUCGGGGAUAGCCUUUCGAAAGAAAGAUUAAUAUCCGAUAGUAUAUUAAGACCGCAUGGUUUUACUAUUAAAGAAUUUCGGUUAUCGAUGGGGAUGCGUUCCAUUAGUUUGUUGGCGGGGUAACGGCCCACCAAGACUACGAUGGAUAGGGGUUCUGAGAGGAAGGUCCCCCACAUUGGAACUGAGACACGGUCCAA